GGUUGGGUUUUGAGUCUUACUCAAAUUCACACCUCACAACGCAACCAAGAACUCCUUCUUUGCUGGUCUAUUUUGAACUCUUUCAAAAACUUGUCAAGGCAUGCAUCUUGUUGAAACUUCUAUUAAGCGCUUUCGAUCUAUCUCCAUAGAUCUUUGAUGCUCAACGUUCAAGUAGAGUAAUCCAGGUACUCCUUUGAAAACUUCUUUGAAACAACCUUGUAUGCUUUACAG
Molecule: long non-coding RNA, 231 nt
Filed under: Hordeum vulgare
Lineage: Eukaryota; Viridiplantae; Streptophyta; Magnoliopsida; Poales; Poaceae
Description: long non-coding RNA (HVUL_LNC003603)
Source: RNAcentral